GACGAACGCUGGCGGCGCGCUUAACACAUGCAAGUCGAGCGGUAAGGCCCUUUCGGGGGUACACGAGCGGCGAACGGGUGAGUAACACGUGGGUGACCUGCCCUCAGCUCUGGGAUAAGCCUGGGAAACUGGGUCUAAUACUGGAUAUGACUCCACGGUGCAUGUCGUGGGGUGGAAAGCCUUGUGCGGCUGAGGAUGGGCCCGCGGCCUAUCAGCUUGUUGGUGGGGUGANGGCCUACCAAGGCGACGACGGGUAGCCGGCCUGAGAGGGCGACCGGCCACACUGGGACUGAGACACGGCCCAGACUCCUACGGGAGGCAGCAGUGGGGAAUCUUGCGCAAUGGGCGAAAGCCUGACGCAGCGACGCCGCGUGAGGGAUGACGGCCU
Molecule: ribosomal RNA, 388 nt
Filed under: uncultured bacterium
Lineage: Bacteria
Description: bacterial SSU rRNA
Rfam family: Bacterial small subunit ribosomal RNA
Source: RNAcentral